CGACCCUCAAGCCCCCUGGGGCUUGGUGUUGGGGCUCCUACGGCGGGCUUUCGUCCCCCGUAGGCCCUCAAAGCUAGUGGCGGGCUCGCUGGUGCUUCCGGGCGUAGUAGUUAUCCCUCUUCGCCCAGGGUGCCCGGCGGGCGUGCUGGCCGUUAAACCCCCUAUACAUUUAGAA
Molecule: unclassified non-coding RNA, 175 nt
Filed under: Sordariomycetes sp.
Lineage: Eukaryota; Fungi; Ascomycota; Sordariomycetes
Also listed under: 1 other name
Description: partial internal transcribed spacer 2
Source: RNAcentral